Molecule: transfer RNA, 72 nt
Filed under: Capra hircus (goat)
Lineage: Eukaryota; Metazoa; Chordata; Mammalia; Artiodactyla; Bovidae
Also listed under: 1 other name
Rfam family: tRNA
About the family: Transfer RNA (tRNA) molecules are approximately 80 nucleotides in length.
Source: Rfam by way of RNAcentral
UCCCCGGUGGCUCAGAUGGUAAAGCGUCUGCCUACAAUGCAGGAGACCCAGGUUAGAUCCCUGGGUCAGGAA